RNAcentral lists this ribosomal RNA (207 nucleotides) under uncultured bacterium. RNAcentral's name for it is "partial 16S ribosomal RNA". It matches the Rfam family "Bacterial small subunit ribosomal RNA", at positions 568 to 774 of the family's 1533-position model. The record is from RNAcentral.
CGCGUAGGCGGUUUGUUAAGUCGGAUGUGAAAGCCCCGGGCUCAACCUGGGAAUUGCAUUCGAUACUGGCAAACUAGAGUAUGGUAGAGGGAAGUGGAAUUCCAGGUGUAGCGGUGAAAUGCGUAGAUAUCUGGAAGAACACCAGUGGCGAAGGCGACUUCCUGGACCAAUACUGACGCUGAGGUGCGAAAGCGUGGGGAGAGAACA